This 253-nucleotide ribosomal RNA is filed under the name uncultured bacterium. RNAcentral describes it as "partial 16S ribosomal RNA". It matches the Rfam family "Bacterial small subunit ribosomal RNA", at positions 524 to 776 of the family's 1533-position model. The record is from RNAcentral.
UACGAAGGGGGCUAGCGUUGUUCGGAAUUACUGGGCGUAAAGCGCACGUAGGCGGCGCAGCAAGUUGGGGGUGAAAUCCCGAGGCUCAACCUCGGAAUUGCCUUCGAAACUGCUGUGCUCGAGUUCGGAAGAGGUGAGUGGAAUUCCCAGUGUAGAGGUGAAAUUCGUAGAGAUUGGGAAGAACACCAGUGGCGAAGGCGGCUCACUGGUCCGCAACUGACGCUGAGGUGCGAAAGCGUGGGGAGCAAACAGG